RNAcentral lists this ribosomal RNA (253 nucleotides) under uncultured bacterium. RNAcentral describes it as "partial 16S ribosomal RNA". It matches the Rfam family "Bacterial small subunit ribosomal RNA", at positions 524 to 776 of the family's 1533-position model. The record is from RNAcentral.
UACAGAGGUCCCGAGCGUUGUUCGGAUUCAUUGGGCGUAAAGGGUGCGUAGGCGGCGGGGCCAGUCUGAUGUGAAAUCCCGGAGCUCAACUCCGGAACUGCAUUGGAUACUGCCUUGCUAGAGUACUGGAGAGGGAACUGGAAUUUACGGUGUAGCAGUGAAAUGCGUAGAGAUCGUAAGGAAGGCCAGUGGCGAAGGCGAGUUCCUGGACAGUAACUGACGCUGAGGCACGAAGGCCAGGGGAGCAAACGGG